This 433-nucleotide ribosomal RNA is filed under the name uncultured bacterium. RNAcentral describes it as "partial 16S ribosomal RNA". It matches the Rfam family "Bacterial small subunit ribosomal RNA", at positions 29 to 507 of the family's 1533-position model. The record is from RNAcentral.
AGCGAACGCUGUCGGCAGGCCUAACACAUGCAAGUCUAACGAACUCUUCGGAGUUAGUGGCUUACGUGUGAGUAACACGUGGGAACGUGCCUUUUGGUUCUGCAUAACUCAGGGAAACUUGUGCUAAUACCGAAUGUGCCCUUCGAGUGCAAGAUUAAUCGCCAUUAGAGCGGCCCGCGUCUGAUUAGCUAGUUGGUGAGGUAACGGCUCACCAAGGCGACGAUCAGUAGCUGGUCUGAGAGGAUGACCAGCGACACUGGGACUGAGACACGGCCAAGACUCCUAAGGGAGGCAGCAGUGGGGAAUAUUGCGCAAUGGGAGAAAGCCUGACGCAGCCAUGCCGAGUGAAUGAUGAAGGUCUUAGGAUUGUAAAAUUCUUUCACAGGGGACGAUAAUGACGGUACCCGGAGAAGAAGCCCCGGCUAACUUCGUG